Molecule: ribosomal RNA, 466 nt
Filed under: uncultured bacterium
Lineage: Bacteria
Description: bacterial SSU rRNA
Rfam family: Bacterial small subunit ribosomal RNA
Source: RNAcentral
ACCAGACUCCUACGGGAGGCAGCAGUGAGGAAUAUUGGUCAAUGGGCGGAAGCCUGAACCAGCCAAGUCGCGUGAGGGAAGACUGCCCUAUGGGUUGUAAACCUCUUUUGUCAGGGAGCAACGCCGGCUACGUGUAGCCGGACUGAGAGUACCUGAAGAAAAAGCAUCGGCUAACUCCGUGCCAGCAGCCGCGGUAAUACGGAGGAUGCGAGCGUUAUCCGGAUUUAUUGGGUUUAAAGGGUGCGUAGACGGGACAGCAAGUUAGUUGUGAAAGCCCUCGGCUUAACUGAGGAACUGCAACUAAAACUAUUGUUCUUGAGUGCAGGAGAGGAAAGCGGAAUUCCUAGUGUAGCGGUGAAAUGCGUAGAUAUUAGGAGGAACACCAGUGGCGAAGGCGGCUUUCUGGACUGUAACUGACGUUGAGGCACGAAAGUGUGGGGAGCAAACAGGAUUAGAUACCCUAGUA